Molecule: ribosomal RNA, 253 nt
Filed under: uncultured bacterium
Lineage: Bacteria
Description: partial 16S ribosomal RNA
Rfam family: Bacterial small subunit ribosomal RNA
Source: RNAcentral
UACGUAGGGUGCGAGCGUUGUCCGGAAUUACUGGGCGUAAAGAGCUUGUAGGUGGUUUGUCGCGUUGGUCGUGAAAUCUCACGGCUUAACUGUGAGCGUGCGGGCGAUACGGGCAGACUAGAGUACUGCAGGGGAGACUGGAAUUCCUGGUGUAGCGGUGGAAUGCGCAGAUAUCAGGAGGAACACCGGUGGCGAAGGCGGGUCUCUGGGCAGUAACUGACGCUGAGAAGCGAAAGCGUGGGGAGCGAACAGG